Molecule: unclassified non-coding RNA, 183 nt
Filed under: uncultured Rozellomycota
Lineage: Eukaryota; Fungi; Rozellomycota
Description: uncultured Cryptomycota sequence contains ITS2
Source: RNAcentral
AAAACCGAUCAAUUCUAGUUAAGAAUUGGAAAUGACCUUAUAUUCCACGAUAUUUGGUUUAAAUUUAUUAGGUUGAUGAGCUUCCCAACACGGCUCAAUGUGUGCUAGCGAGACAGUUGUCCCGAUCUCACAUUCCAGCUGUGUUGCAGAGUUCUGUCCACAACCUCUAACCUAACUUAUCAU